This 272-nucleotide long non-coding RNA is filed under the name Mus musculus (house mouse). RNAcentral's name for it is "long non-coding RNA chrX:112302195-112302467". The record is from RNAcentral. Lineage: Eukaryota; Metazoa; Chordata; Mammalia; Rodentia; Muridae.
AUGACAACCUCCCAAAAAAGCACUGAGAAUUCCUGGCAGAGCCCAUGGGGGAAAAGCCAGUAGGGAUCCUGGCAGGGAUUGGUGAAGUCUUGGACAGGAAGCUGGAGGAAAGGGGCUUUGACAAGGCUUAUGUGGUCCUUGGCCAGUUUCUGGUGCUAAAAAGUGAUGAAGACCCUUUUCGAGAAUGGCUGAAAGACACACGUGGUGUCAAUGCCAAGCAAUCCCGGGACUCCUUUGGGUACCUUCGAGAAUGGUGUGAUGCCUUCUUGUAA